Molecule: ribosomal RNA, 392 nt
Filed under: uncultured bacterium
Lineage: Bacteria
Description: bacterial SSU rRNA
Rfam family: Bacterial small subunit ribosomal RNA
Source: RNAcentral
AUUGAACGCUGGCGGAAUGCUCUACACAUGCAAGUCGAGCGGCAGCGCGGGGGCAACCCUGGCGGCGAGCGGCGAACGGGUGAGUAACAUAUCGGAACGUACCCAGUCGUGGGGGAUAACUAUCCGAAAGGAUAGCUAAUACCGCAUACGUCCUGAGGGAGAAAGCGGGGGAUCGCAAGACCUCGCGCGAUUGGAGCGGCCGAUAUCGGAUUAGCUAGUUGGUGGGGUAAAGGCUCACCAAGGCGACGAUCCGUAGCGGGUCUGAGAGGACGACCCGCCACACUGGAACUGAGACACGGUCCAGACUCCUACGGGAGGCAGCAGUGGGGAAUUUUGGACAAUGGGGGCAACCCUGAUCCAGCCAUUCCGCGUGAGUGAAGAAGGCCUCGGUU